GUGAAUCAUCAAAUUUUUGAACGCAAAUUGCACUCUCCUCGGAGAGUAUGCCUGUUUGAGGGUCAGCCUAAAAAAAAUCAACAUCGUUGCUGUUCCGCGUUGACGUUCGUCGGAAAUUGGGUAAUCUUAAACCUUUUGGUUUAAGCGACUUAAAUUUUUCCUUUUGUUUCAUUGACGGUUUCUAGGUUUUAUUUCUUACACGGUUUAGGUAU
This 212-nucleotide unclassified non-coding RNA is filed under the name Glomus sp. Its description in RNAcentral is "partial contains 5.8S ribosomal RNA and internal transcribed spacer 2". The stretch from base 1 to 65 matches the Rfam family "5.8S ribosomal RNA", at positions 84 to 154 of the family's 154-position model. The record is from RNAcentral. Lineage: Eukaryota; Fungi; Glomeromycota; Glomeromycetes; Glomerales; Glomeraceae.